AACACAUGCAAGUCGAGGGGAAACGGCAUUAAGUGCUUGCACUUUUUGGACGUCGACCGGCGCACGGGUGAGUAACGCGUAUCCAACCUGCCCCUUACCAGGGAAUAACCCGUUGAAAGGCGGACUAAUGCCCUAUGGAGUCCUUUGACGGCAUCAGAUUAGGGCUAAAGAUUCAUCGGUAUGGGAUGGGGAUGCGUCUGAUUAGCUUGUUGGCGGGGUAACGGCCCACCAAGGCAUCGAUCAGUAGGGGUUCUGAGAGGAAGGUCCCCCACAUAGGAACUGAGACACGGUCCUAACUCCUACGGGAGGCAGCAGUGAGGAAUAUUGGUCAAUGGGCGCUAGCCUGAACCAGCCAAGUAGCGUGCAGGAUGACGGCCCUAUGGGUUGUAAACUGCUUUUAUGCGGGGAUAAAGUCACCCACGUGUGGGUGUUUGCAGGUACCGCAUGAAUAAGGACCGGCUAAUUCCGUGCCAGCAGCCGCGGUAAUACGGAAGGUCCGGGCGUUAUCCGGAUUUAUUGGGUUUAAAGGGAGUGUAGGCGGCCUGUUAAGCGUGUUGUGAAAUGUAGAUGCUCAACAUCUGAACUGCAGCGCGAACUGGCUGGCUUGAGUACACGCAACGUGGGCGGAAUUCAUGGUGUAGCGGUGAAAUGCUUAGAUAUCAUGAGGAACUCCAAUUGCGAAGGCAGCUCACGGGAGU
This 698-nucleotide ribosomal RNA is filed under the name uncultured Bacteroidales bacterium. RNAcentral's name for it is "bacterial SSU rRNA". It matches the Rfam family "Bacterial small subunit ribosomal RNA", at positions 50 to 735 of the family's 1533-position model. Lineage: Bacteria; Pseudomonadati; Bacteroidota; Bacteroidia; Bacteroidales. The record is from RNAcentral.